This 468-nucleotide ribosomal RNA is filed under the name uncultured bacterium. RNAcentral describes it as "partial 16S ribosomal RNA". It matches the Rfam family "Bacterial small subunit ribosomal RNA", at positions 28 to 507 of the family's 1533-position model. The record is from RNAcentral.
GACGAACGCUGGCGGCGUGCUUAACACAUGCAAGUCGAACGGAAAGGCCCUGCUUUUGUGGGGUGCUCGAGUGGCGAACGGGUGAGUAACACGUGAGUAACCUGCCCUUGACUUUGGGAUAACUUCAGGAAACUGGGGCUAAUACCGGAUAGGAGCUCCUGCUGCAUGGUGGGGGUUGGAAAGUUUCGGCGGUUGGGGAUGGACUCGCGGCUUAUCAGCUUGUUGGUGGGGUAGUGGCUUACCAAGGCUUUGACGGGUAGCCGGCCUGAGAGGGUGACCGGACACAUUGGGACUGAGAUACGGCUCAGACUACUACGGGAGGCAGCAGUGGGGAAUAUUGCACAAUGGGCGGAAGCCUGAUGCAGCAACGCCGCGUGCGGGAUGACGGCCUUCGGGUUGUAAACCGAUUUCGCCUGUGACGAAGCGUGAGUGACGGUAAUGGGUAAAGAAGCACCGGCUAACUACGUG